RNAcentral lists this ribosomal RNA (253 nucleotides) under uncultured bacterium. Its description in RNAcentral is "partial 16S ribosomal RNA". It matches the Rfam family "Bacterial small subunit ribosomal RNA", at positions 524 to 776 of the family's 1533-position model. The record is from RNAcentral.
UACGGAGGGUGCGAGCGUUGUCCGGAAUCACUGGGCGUAAAGGGCGCGUAGGCGGCGCGGGUAGUCAACGGUGAAAGCUUGGGGCUCAACCCCGAGUCGGCCGUCGAUACUCCCGUGCUUGAGCACUGUAGAGGCAGGUGGAAUUCCGGGUGUAGCGGUGGAAUGCGUAGAGAUCCGGAAGAACAUCGGUGGCGAAGGCGGCCUGCUGGGCAGUAGCUGACGCUGAGGCGCGACAGCGUGGGGAGCAAACAGG